UUUAUAAAGAAAACCCUAACUAUUUCUUCCCAUACCAUUAACCAGACCUAACCACCAAUCUUUCUACAAAUUUCUUCCCCAAAAAUCAAGCUGCAUUCAAUUCGGUUGAGAUGGGUUUUGGAGAUAAAGCCUGACAACAGUUGACUGAUCUUGACCGUGCUUCCUGGGUCUGCCUCUGUUUUUCUUUUCUGUCACCGGUGUGACUCCGGCCGCCGUGUACGGUGGAGAUGAUGCAGCAGCAAGUUGGCUUGUGAUGGAUUGUGGGAUUGAUCUUGUGGUGCUGGGCUCAAUUCUUGGAGCAAUUUGGUAGUCUGAUGGUGCAUCUGAUUUCACCACUAAAACUAUGAAGAUGAGAGAGUGCACAGUAUGAAGAAGAUGAAUAGAUGAUGUGUUCUUGAAGAUGAUGAUGUGUUCUUGAAGAUUGGGUUAGAAGAUGAUGUUCUUGAAGAUCUGAGUUAGAUUUAAAGGGGAUGAGAAAUUACAAAAAUACCCAUCAUGUGCCCAGCAUGUGAGAAAUAAUUAACCAGGGUAAGGGAUGGAGUUAGACUCAGGGGCCAAAAUAGUUAGUUAUAGAGACCAUGGGGGCACAUAUGUUAAAAAAAAUCCUAUUUUGGGCUAAUAUAGUAAAAGUGAUAUAACCACAGGGGCCAAAAACGUAAUUUACUCAAAAAAAUAUAUUCGACGUGAACAUUAAGAGGGAAAAAACAUCAGACGGCAGAAUUGGGAGAGACGGUACGAAUUUGGGAGCACAUCAGAGACAAAUUUUUGGCGUUUAGUAGAAAGAGAAGGAUCGGGUUUUGGAUUGAAGAUUGAACUUAAAGUUGUUUGCUUUACGGUUAGAAUACGUUUUAUUGUUUUUGGUUUGUUAAAACUCAAUACUUUAACAUGUUUUCUACUGUGAAUGACUUUGAAUUUAUUUGUGUUUAAUUCUUGACCAUGCUUG
This 943-nucleotide long non-coding RNA is filed under the name Helianthus annuus (common sunflower). RNAcentral describes it as "hypothetical non coding rna". Lineage: Eukaryota; Viridiplantae; Streptophyta; Magnoliopsida; Asterales; Asteraceae. The record is from RNAcentral.